CCUACGGGUGGCAGCAGUGGGGAAUAUUGCGCAAUGGGCGAAAGCCUGACGCAGCGACGCCGCGUGAGGGAUGAAGGUCUUCGGAUCGUAAACCUCUGUCAGCAGGGAAGAACGGUCACUGUGCUAAUCAGCAGUGAAUUGACGGUACCUGCAAAGGCAGCACCGGCUAACUCCGUGCCAGCAGCCGCGGUAAUACGGAGGGUGCGAGCGUUAAUCGGAAUUACUGGGCGUAAAGCGCUCGUAGGCGGUAUGUCAAGUCAAGGGUGAAAUCCCCGCGCUCAACGUGGGAACUGCCUUUGAAACUGGCAAACUGGAGUGUGUGAGAGGAUAGUGGAAUUCCAGGUGUAGGAGUGAAAGCCGUAGAUAUCUGGAGGAACAUCAGUGGCGAAGGCGACUAUCUGGCACAUAACUGACGCUGAGGAGCGAAAGCGUGGGUAACAAACAGGAUUAGAUACCCUAGUAGUC
This 465-nucleotide ribosomal RNA is filed under the name uncultured bacterium. RNAcentral's name for it is "partial 16S ribosomal RNA". It matches the Rfam family "Bacterial small subunit ribosomal RNA", at positions 338 to 795 of the family's 1533-position model. The record is from RNAcentral.